UACGUAGGGUGCGAGCGUUAAUCGGAAUUACUGGGCGUAAAGGGUGCGCAGGCGGCUCCGCAUGUCGGGCGUGAAAUCCCCGGGCUCAACCCGGGAACUGCGUCCGAUACUGGCAGGCUUGAAUCCGGGAGAGGGAUGCGGAAUUCCAGGUGUAGCGGUGAAAUGCGUAGAUAUCUGGAGGAACACCGGUGGCGAAGGCGGCAUCCUGGACCGGCAUUGACGCUGAGGCGCGAAAGCCAGGGGAGCAAACGGG
This 253-nucleotide ribosomal RNA is filed under the name uncultured bacterium. Its description in RNAcentral is "partial 16S ribosomal RNA". It matches the Rfam family "Bacterial small subunit ribosomal RNA", at positions 524 to 776 of the family's 1533-position model. The record is from RNAcentral.